GGCGUCCCUCAGGAAAAAAAAAGAGAGCGAGAGAGGACACGGAGGGGUCCGGAGGCUAGAAAGAGAAGAAGGCUCUCGAGCGGCGGCUGCGCGACGAGGAUAUGAGCGGCGAGGCGGGGGCCGGCGGCGGCGGGGAGGCGAACGGCGUCCAGCCGAACGUGACCAUCUACAUCAAUAACCUCAACGAGAAGAUCAAACUCGAAGCGCUUAAGAAGUCCCUGAAUGCCGUUUUCUCCCAGUUUGGGAAAAUCAUUGAGGUGCUUGCUUUUAAGACUUUGAAGCAUAAAGGGCAGGCAUGGGUUGUGUUCGAAGAUGUUGCAUCAGCAACUGAGGCUUUGAAGAGGAUGCAAGAUUUUCCCUUCUAUGACAAACCCAUGAAAAUUCAAUAUGCCAAGACCAAGUCAGAUGUUAUAGCAAAAGCUGAUGGCACCUUCGUACCUCGAGAAAAAAGGAAGAGGAAUGAUGAGAAACCUGAAAAGAAGCAGAAGCGUGAGCAGCACCACGAUGUUAACCAGGCUGGCGUGGGCAUGCAUGCCUAUCCUGGUGCUUAUGGGGCUCCGCCGCUCUCUCAGCUACCUUUUGGUGCGGGACCAAAGGUCAUGAUGCCAGAGAUUAUUGUACCAAACAACAUUCUCUUCGUCCAAGAACUCCCACACGACGCCACGGCUUUGAUGCUGCAGAUGUUCUUCUGCCAGUACCCUGGGUUCAAGGAAGUGCGGAUGAUCGAAGCAAAGCCCGGAAUCGCUUUCGUGGAGUAUGGAGACGAGGGGCAGGCGACCGCAGCCAUGAACCUUCUUCAAGGUUUCAAAAUCAAAGAGAACCCAAUGCGCAUCACAUAUGCGAAGAAGUAACUUGAUGAGCUGUAUUGACUUGAAUUAAUGUUGUAGCCCUGGUUUUGCACCAUUUGGUAGAUUUUCUUCACAUGUAAGGUAGACUACACCAUGGAUAAUCCAGUAAAUUAAUGUAUGGUUCAGCUGCAUUUAUGCGUCCAUGCUUGGAAGCUAUUUUCAGUCAUGUAUUUGGGUUUGGCAUCGUUGUGAUAAUCUUAAGUCAAAUCAUAUGUUGCCAAUUUCGUCUAAUAACCAUUUCCUACUUUUGUCGCUAUUUUUCCACAAGUUCCUCACAAACCAUAAACUUGAGCUCCGAGUAUUACGUUGAUGUUUGUGAUGACAAUUGAUUCUCUAGAACAUGUGAAAAAUUUCUUCAUCGUCACAGCCGUCCAUCCUCCAACGAACGGGCGAUAUCUUCGCCUAAGCGAACCGGAGUUCCAAAGGAUUUCGCGAUCCCCACCCAUCUCCCCCUCUCCCAUGGCAGAGCCGCCGCCGCCCCCGUCGCAGUCGCCGGCGCAGACGCCGCCGCCCACGCAGCAGCAGACGCCCGCGGCAACCGCGCGGGAUGAAAUGAUGGCGUGCGUGGCUGCGCUGGAGGCAGCGCUGCUGCCGUGCCUCCCCGCGCGCGAGCUGCAGGCCGUCGACCGCUCCCUCCAGUCCUCCCACCAGAUUGAUGUGGAGAGGCACGCGAGGGAUUUCAUGGAGGCCGCCAAGAAGCUUCAGUCUUACUUCAUCACCAUGCAGCGCGAGGACCAACCAACAGACGAAGAACUGCUUCGUAAGGAGAUUACUACAAUGGAGGAAGAACUGAAGACCAAGUCUGAGCUCAUUGCCAAGCACAAGAGUCUCAUUGAAGGGUGGCAGAAAGAACUAAAGGUCCAGCUGGGCAAGCACAACACCGAGCUCGAAAGAGUUUGAUUCUGCCAUGUACAUUUCCUAUUUCGACCAGAAUGACCAUGAAAUUCUGUGUGGCUGAAUGUUACAGUUGUCCCUGGAAAAAUUGUGUCAGCCUAGAGACAAGCCAGCAUAACUAAUGUUUAGGAUCUAACCAGUCAAUUGUUCAUCGAUAUCUUGUUCCGUUGUGGAACAUGUAAUUUUUUCUAUCUGUUUGGUUACCAAAUGUCUUGAUUCGGAGGUUGGGGCAAAUUUAUCAUGCAAAACAUGUACUCGAAAGUUGAAAACAAUCUAUACACUAGCUAAUUGUCUGCGUUGCAGCGAGGCAUAUAACUUACACCCACCAUAUUCUAAUGGUU
This 2083-nucleotide ribosomal RNA is filed under the name Triticum aestivum (bread wheat). RNAcentral describes it as "partial small subunit ribosomal RNA". Lineage: Eukaryota; Viridiplantae; Streptophyta; Magnoliopsida; Poales; Poaceae. The record is from RNAcentral.